GGGGAUGUAGCUCAGCUGGGAGAGCAUCACGUUCGCAACGUGGGGGCCGAGGGUUCGAAUCCCUUCAUCUCCA
The sequence is a transfer RNA, 73 nucleotides long. It matches the Rfam family "tRNA". From Rfam's summary of the family: Transfer RNA (tRNA) molecules are approximately 80 nucleotides in length. Their secondary structure includes four short double-helical elements and three loops (D, anti-codon, and T loops). Further hydrogen bonds mediate the characteristic L-shaped molecular structure. tRNAs have two regions of fundamental functional importance: the anti-codon, which is responsible for specific mRNA codon recognition, and the 3' end, to which the tRNAs corresponding amino acid is attached (by aminoacyl-tRNA synthetases). tRNAs cope with the degeneracy of the genetic code in two manners: having more than one tRNA (with a specific anti-codon) for a particular amino acid; and 'wobble' base-pairing, i.e. permitting non-standard base-pairing at the 3rd anti-codon position. The record is from Rfam.